Molecule: ribosomal RNA, 433 nt
Filed under: uncultured bacterium
Lineage: Bacteria
Description: partial 16S ribosomal RNA
Rfam family: Bacterial small subunit ribosomal RNA
Source: RNAcentral
AACGAACGCUGGCGGUAUGCCUAACACAUGCAAGUCGAACGAGACCUCCGGGUCUACUGGCGCACGGGUGCGUAACGCGUGGGAACCUGCCGUUAGGCUCGGAAUAACUCUUCGAAAGGGGUGCUAAUACCGGAUAACGUCUUCUGAUCCAACAUAGAUCGUCCUAGGAUGGGCCCGCGUUGUAUUAGCCUGGCGGUAGGGUAAAAGCCUACCAGGGCGACGAUCCAUAGCUGGGCUGAGAGGAAGAGCAGCCACACUCGGGCUGAGAUGCGGCGCAGACUCUUGCGGGAGGCGGCAGUGGGGAAUAUUGGAAAAUGGGCGGAGGCCUGAAGCAGCACUGGCGCGUGAGUGAUGAAGGCGUUAGAGUAGUAAAGCUCUUUUACCCGGGAUGAUAAUGACGGUACCGGGAGAAUAAGCACCGGCUAACUCCGUG